AGGGUGUAAACGCUGCAGACUUGGUGUUGGAAGCCCUUUGGGGGCAUUCAGUGCCGGAGAGAAGUUGUUAAGUCUGCUACUUGGGGAGUACGUCCGCAAGGAUGAAACUUAAAGGAAUUGGCGGGGGAGCACCGCAACGGGAGGAGCGUGCGGUUUAAUUGGAUUCAACACCGUAAAACUCACCAGGGAAGACUGUUACAUGAAAGCCGAGAUGAAGACUCUGCUAGAUUUUCAGAGAGGAGGUGCAUGGCGUCAGUGACU
Molecule: ribosomal RNA, 261 nt
Filed under: uncultured archaeon
Lineage: Archaea
Description: partial 16S ribosomal RNA
Rfam family: Archaeal small subunit ribosomal RNA
Source: RNAcentral